AGUGUUUGAUCCUGGCUCAGGAUGAACGCUGGCGGCGUGCCUAACACAUGCAAGUCGAGCGAGAAGAUUAUGAUUGAUCCUUCGGGUGAGAGAUUGAUUGGAAAGCGGCGGACGGGUGAGUAACGCGUGAGUAACCUGCCCCAUACACAGGGAUAGCCAUUGGAAACGAUGAUUAAUACCUGAUAACACUAUUUUAUCACAUGUUAGAAUGGUCAAAGAUUUAUCGGUAUGGGAUGGACUCGCGUCUGAUUAGCUAGUUGGUAAGGUAACGGCUUACCAAGGCGACGAUCAGUAGCCGACCUGAGAGGGUGAUCGGCCACACUGGAACUGAGACACGGUCCAGACUCCUACGGGAGGCAGCAGUGGGGAAUAUUGCACAAUGGGCGCAAGCCUGAUGGAGCGACACCGCGUGCGGGAAGACGGCCUUCGGGUUGUAAACCGCUUUUCUGUGAGAAUACUUCGAAUGUACCACAGAAUAAGUCACGCUAAU
This 490-nucleotide ribosomal RNA is filed under the name uncultured bacterium. Its description in RNAcentral is "bacterial SSU rRNA". It matches the Rfam family "Bacterial small subunit ribosomal RNA", at positions 8 to 501 of the family's 1533-position model. The record is from RNAcentral.